RNAcentral lists this long non-coding RNA (1265 nucleotides) under Lynx pardinus (Iberian lynx). Lineage: Eukaryota; Metazoa; Chordata; Mammalia; Carnivora; Felidae. The record is from RNAcentral.
CAGGACUGGCCCUUGACCUUGGAGAAAUUGCAGUGGAUAGGAGGAAGGUGGGUAUAUAGGGGAAGAUCAGCCUGGCUUUGUUACAAGCCUGGAAUCUGGGACUCCAGGCGAGGAGACUGGUGGUAUUCCAGACUGGAAGUGAUGGAUUAGGGUGGAGCCUGAGGGAAUGCAGAGGGAAGAGUCUUUCAGAGAGCCACUUUGGCUUGUGGCUAGGUCGUGGGGAAGAGAAGGUGCUAAAAUUUUGAGCCUUAGCGAUUGGCAGAAAAACCCGGAUUCAGGCUUCUUUACAGGAACGUCAUGUUUGAUUUGAUGUUAGGCGACCUGCCUUCAAAACCACGGCAGUCCAAAUUGAAAUGUUUAUGGUCAGGCAAAUAGAGUUUGCAGUGGAAACCAAUUCUGGGAAGAGAACUUGUAGGAAAUUGCAUUACCAAGCCUCGAAGGUGUAGGUCGCUGAGAACGUAUGCAGGGAGAGUGAGCCCAGGGCCCUGGGCAUCGGCCUAGAAUUGGGCGAGGCUGUAUAUCUUGUACCUGUUUAUGAUCCCAGCGCCCGCCCAGACUGCUGGACCUGUUUCUGCUAAUGAACACACAUGUCUUCUAUCAAACCACACCCCUUUUUGAAGUUCAGGUUUCUGUUUAAGUUUCCUUCUCCCUAGUAACUAUGUCCAGGAGGCUAUGUCCUGGAAAGAUAGGUAUAUACGCUUACUUCUCCACUCGUUCUCCUUGACCUUUGCUGUGCCAUUCACUUAUAGAUUACUGAGAGGCCCCAAGUUGUGCCUGCUAUAGCCACGAGCCAUCGGUCUUUAAUUAGCCUCCACCAGCAAGACUGUUUGUUCUGGUUCCUUCCCAGUCAUCACUAUAGAGGAGUAAGAGCACUGCACAGAGCGUCAGGAGGCUUCUGCCAGCUACGUGGUCUCGGGUGAGGCACUUCCGUUUCCAGGACUUAGUGCCUAGUCUGAGCGGUCUGGUUUUCUUCCAUGUCCAAAGCCUUCGGAUUUGACAUCCAAAGCUUUCUCCACCUCUGCCCAGGUUUCUGGUGCCGGGCAGGCGUUUUGACCGAGCUGCGCAGAUUUCUCUGAUGCUUUGUGGGAAGGAGUAGCAGAAAUGGACGCCUGCUCUCUUGGGUAGACCCCUGUCUCCAAAGUGGGUGGGCGCCCUCCAGAGGGAGUGUGGCCCUUGUCCCUCUUGGGAAUGUGGAAAUGCGGGAAGAGCAGGUUUUCCCAGUCACCAAGCAGUUGGCAGGCUACAGCCCAUAGGUCAGAUGCCUG